CAAGUUGUUUUCUUCUCUUGACAAAACUCAGAUCAGCAAAUUUUCAUAUUGCACUAUUUUCAAUGGCUGGAACAUCAACAUUUUAUAACAAGAAAAAAAUCAAAGUUCUUCAGUACUUGGAAAAGAAGUGCUUGUAAAAAUGUUCACAUCCAUUCACCAUCUGGAAAAGCAAGGUUUUACAGUUAUUCCUAAUGAUGUUUAGAGUCACUAAGCAUUUUGGAAAAUGACCUCUUAUUGAAGAUAUUUCCUCCACAGGACACCACAGUGUUCACCUUUCUACAACGUUACACUUGCUUAGGACUUAUCUUGGAAAAUUAAAAGAAAUAUACACACAGAGCCAAGACUGUA
Molecule: long non-coding RNA, 348 nt
Filed under: Lynx pardinus (Iberian lynx)
Lineage: Eukaryota; Metazoa; Chordata; Mammalia; Carnivora; Felidae
Source: RNAcentral